Molecule: ribosomal RNA, 447 nt
Filed under: Triticum aestivum (bread wheat)
Lineage: Eukaryota; Viridiplantae; Streptophyta; Magnoliopsida; Poales; Poaceae
Description: partial small subunit ribosomal RNA
Source: RNAcentral
AUGUUCAGACAAUCUGUUGACCUGACACACUUGUCGUUGAUGCCCGAGUACUUAAUUAGGAGGAGUAGCGCAGCCACAACCACAAAGAGAGGUCGAAUCAUUUCUUCAGAACUGAAGCGGGAAAAGCAGUAUAGGAUCGUCGGAUCGACCAUGAAGCGGUCAUCUUCUUCUCGGUCCUCGCUCACACGCCGCGUGGCAAUGCUUCUGGUGAUCGUGUGGUGCUGCACCCUGCUGCCAUUCCCAUGCUCUGCUGUUUGCAAAGGGCGUGCAUUUGGUGACUUUGGUCAGAGCGCUGGGGCCGGGACAAGGGGGGGAGGAAAGCAAUUUGAUCAGGGGGCUAUGCCAGAGGGAGAAGAUAAUGGGGCAGAAGGAAACGGGGGAGGAGGGAUGCAAGUAGGACGGACACCUCCGGCCCCGCGGGGCAAGACACCGAGGAACCACAGGUGA